This 75-nucleotide transfer RNA is filed under the name Klebsiella sp. Its description in RNAcentral is "tRNA-Thr". It matches the Rfam family "tRNA". From Rfam's summary of the family: Transfer RNA (tRNA) molecules are approximately 80 nucleotides in length. Their secondary structure includes four short double-helical elements and three loops (D, anti-codon, and T loops). Further hydrogen bonds mediate the characteristic L-shaped molecular structure. tRNAs have two regions of fundamental functional importance: the anti-codon, which is responsible for specific mRNA codon recognition, and the 3' end, to which the tRNAs corresponding amino acid is attached (by aminoacyl-tRNA synthetases). tRNAs cope with the degeneracy of the genetic code in two manners: having more than one tRNA (with a specific anti-codon) for a particular amino acid; and 'wobble' base-pairing, i.e. permitting non-standard base-pairing at the 3rd anti-codon position. The record is from RNAcentral. Lineage: Bacteria; Pseudomonadati; Pseudomonadota; Gammaproteobacteria; Enterobacterales; Enterobacteriaceae.
GCUAUAUGGCUCAGUUGGUAGAGCGCACCCUUGGUAAGGGUGAGGUCCCCAGUUCGACUCUGGGUAUCAGCACCA